ACGGAAGGCAGCAGUGGGGAAUAUUGGGCAAUGGGCGAAAGCCUGACCCAGCGACGCCGCGUGAGGGAAGAAGGUCUUCGGAUUGUAAACCUUAGUCAACAGGGAAGAAGAAAGUGACGGUACCUGUGGAGGAAGCCACGGCUAACUACGUGCCAGCCGCCGCGGUAAUACGUAGGUGGCAAGCGUUAUCCGGAUUUACUGGGUGUAAAGGGUGUGUAGGCGGGAUUGCAAGUCAGAUGUGAAAACUAUGGGCUUAAGCCAUAGCCUGCAUUUGAAACUGGAGUUCUUGAGAGUGGGAGAGGUAAAUGGAAUUCCCGGUGUAGCGGUGAAAUGCUUAGAGAUCGGGAGGAACACCAGUGGCGAAGGCGAUUUACUGGACGACAACUGACGCUGAGACACGAAAGUGUGGGGAGCAAACAGGAUUAGAUACCCUGGUA
This 437-nucleotide ribosomal RNA is filed under the name uncultured Oscillospiraceae bacterium. Its description in RNAcentral is "partial 16S ribosomal RNA". It matches the Rfam family "Bacterial small subunit ribosomal RNA", at positions 341 to 792 of the family's 1533-position model. The record is from RNAcentral. Lineage: Bacteria; Bacillati; Bacillota; Clostridia; Eubacteriales; Oscillospiraceae.